CCCUUUUUGUGGGGAUUUUACACUGGUUUAGAGUCGCUAUGUCUGCUAGGCCUCUGUGUAUGAUGUCUUCCAAUUGUUCUCUGAGGGGAGCAAAGGGGUUUUCUGCCUUUCUGUGAUCUGGUAAUGGUGGAUCUGAUGUUUGUUCCUUUCUUUUGCUCUCAUCUGUUUCUGGAAUGCUUCAGUCAGCCCCAAGGUAAUGCUGGUUGGCUGACUGAGCAGUGCAGCUCUGGAAAUGCCUGGAGCUGAUGCACCUUUCCUUAAAGAGAUUUUGUGUUCUCCAAGUUUCCUUUGCAAAUCUUUUUAAGCUCAAUACCUUCUUGUGAAGUCUCUGUUUCCUCUUUCAUGAGUCUCACUGCAUAAUCUCCAACCUGAGAAUCCAAACUUGGUUUGUCUGCUGCCACAUUGUCCCAACGCAUUUUAUGACGCGUCCCUCUGUGUCCCCCUCCUCAUUCCUGCUGUGUCCUUGUGUCCCACUUGUGUCUUUGUGUCCUCUCUGUGUCCUCUCCCCAUGUCCCCUCAGCGUCUCCUGUGCCACGUAUUCAUUCCACCCAUGCACCCAGCUUUAAAGCUUCAAGUUGUGUAAGUAAGGCAAUUAAAAAACUGGCAAGCUUGCUUUUUGUUUUACCUAAGUGAUCUUUUAGCAAGGAAAGGUUGGAGAUGUUUCUUGCUAAUGGAAGAUGGAGAGAGGAGAAGCAAGUGAAAGGCAUGCUGUGCACAGCCAGCACACAGCACGUGCACCAUUGCCCCCUGUGCAAAGGAGGAGCAGCUCAGCAAGCUUGGCCUGGGCCACGGAAGGGAGCGUACAGAGGUCUGGAGCAGGCCCAAACGGGCUGGUUCUGCAGGAGGGCAGGUGGUGAACCUAAUGAGCCAAAGCCUGCAGAUGGGGUUUGUGGAGAAAGAGGUCCUGCAGGCCUUGUGUGGUAGCCACGGAGCUGGAGUGAGGCUGCGUCAGUGUAAAAGCCCAGCAAUGCACAGAGUAAGUCCUGUUGUUACAAACAGCAUCUUGGGGGCAACCUUGAUUUCUGCAGCCCCAAGCUUUGUGGCACGAGAGCCCUCCGCCAUGCUUCUCCCUGUGAUGUGUGACCGUAUGGAAGGCCUCGCAGAAGCCUGGUCAUAACCAUGGAACCACAGAAGCGUUACCCAGACAGAAGGAGCCUUUGUCACCUGGACUUCCUACCAAUGACACAGGCAGUGGAAGUCAGCAUCCCGAGCAUCCAUGAAACCCCUGCACAGGACUGGAAGAAAAACUUGGUGUCUGUGCCAAGGGAGACGUACACCGCACUUGCGCUGCCUGGAUGAUUUGGAAACUGGAAAUUCUGGGGUGUGCUGAAGCAUGCCCUCUCAGCUUUCGCUCGUGGAAGAACAGAGCAAAGUGACAAGGAACGGCUGCGGGUUCAAGACACUUGUCUACCUUGUUCUGAUCUCCUGCCAGCUUGUCGUGCCUGCUGUGAUGGGCGUCGCGUGCAGUGAGAUCAGCUGUGGGCCUGACAUGGCACGUGUGGAGACUGAGAACAACGGGAAGCCCCUGCUGGUCCAUGAGGAGUCAUCUCUUAAUAUUCCAGCUAUUGGUGCUGCCCAUGU
Molecule: long non-coding RNA, 1581 nt
Organism: Lagopus muta (rock ptarmigan)
Lineage: Eukaryota; Metazoa; Chordata; Aves; Galliformes; Phasianidae
Exons: 8
Source: RefSeq, a predicted model, not a curated record